This 253-nucleotide ribosomal RNA is filed under the name uncultured bacterium. Its description in RNAcentral is "partial 16S ribosomal RNA". It matches the Rfam family "Bacterial small subunit ribosomal RNA", at positions 524 to 776 of the family's 1533-position model. The record is from RNAcentral.
UACGGAGGGUGCAAGCAUUAAUCGGGAUUACUGGGCGUAAAGGGCGCGUAGGCGGUUAUUUAAGUUGGAUGUGAAAUCCCUGGGCUUAACCUAGGAACUGCAUUCAAUACUGGAUAACUGGAGUGCAGUAGAGGGUAGUGGAAUUUCCGGUGUAGCGGUGAAAUGCGUAGAUAUCGGAAGGAACACCAGUGGCGAAGGCGGCUACCUGGACUGACACUGACGCUGAGGCGCGAAAGCAUGGGGAGCAAACAGG